AACGAACGCUGGCGGCAUGCCUAACACAUGCAAGUCGUACGAGAUCUUCGGGUCUAGUGGCGCACGGGUGCGUAACGCGUGGGAAUCUGCCCUUUGGUUCGGAAUAACAGUUGGAACCGACUGCUAAUAGCGGAUGAGGACGGAAGUCCAAAGAUUUAUCGCCAGAGAAUGAGCCAGCGUAGGAUUAGCUAGUUGGUGUGGUAAAGGCGAACCAAGGCGACGAUCCUUGGCUGGUCUGGGAGGAUGAUCGGCCACACUGGGACUGAGACACGGCCAAGACUCCUACGGGAGGCAGCAGUGGGGAAUAUUGGACAAUGGGCGAAAGCCUGAUCCAGCAAUGCCGCGUGAGUGAUGAAGGCCUUAGGGUUGUAAAGCUCUUUUACCCGGGAUGAUAAUGACAGUACCGGGAGAAUAAGCUCCGGCUAACUCCGUGCCAGCCGCCGCCGUAA
RNAcentral lists this ribosomal RNA (449 nucleotides) under uncultured bacterium. Its description in RNAcentral is "partial 16S ribosomal RNA". It matches the Rfam family "Bacterial small subunit ribosomal RNA", at positions 29 to 523 of the family's 1533-position model. The record is from RNAcentral.